GACGAAGGUGGCAAGCGUUAUUCGGAUUUACUGGGCAUAAAGCGCGCGUAGGCGGCUUGGCAAGUCGGGGGUGAAAGCCCGCAGCUCAACUGCGGAACUGCCUUCGAUACUGCCGGGCUUGAGGGCGGGAGGGGUGAUUGGAACUCCAGGUGUAGCGGUGAAAUGCGUAGAUAUCUGGAGGAACACCGGAGGCGAAGGCGAAUCACUGGACCGCUUCUGACGCUGAGGCGCGAAAGCUAGGGGAGCAAACGGG
Molecule: ribosomal RNA, 253 nt
Filed under: uncultured bacterium
Lineage: Bacteria
Description: partial 16S ribosomal RNA
Rfam family: Bacterial small subunit ribosomal RNA
Source: RNAcentral